UACGUAGGGUGCAAGCGUUGUCCGGAAUUACUGGGCGUAAAGCGCGCGUAGGCGGCUUUACAAGUCGGGUGUGAAAUCCCCAAGCUUAACUUGGGAACUGCAUUCGAGACUGCAUUGCUAGAGUAUGGGAGAGGGAAGUGGAAUUUCCGGUGUAGCGGUGAAAUGCGUAGAUAUCGGAAGGAACAUCAGUGGCGAAAGCGACUUCCUGGACCAAUACUGACGCUCAUGUGCGAAAGCGUGGGGAGCAAACAGG
Molecule: ribosomal RNA, 253 nt
Filed under: uncultured bacterium
Lineage: Bacteria
Description: partial 16S ribosomal RNA
Rfam family: Bacterial small subunit ribosomal RNA
Source: RNAcentral